RNAcentral lists this ribosomal RNA (475 nucleotides) under uncultured bacterium. RNAcentral describes it as "SSU rRNA". It matches the Rfam family "Bacterial small subunit ribosomal RNA", at positions 26 to 518 of the family's 1533-position model. The record is from RNAcentral.
AGGACGAACGCUGGCGGCGUGCUUAACACAUGCAAGUCGAGCGGAAAGGCCCUUCGGGGUACUCGAGCGGCGAACGGGUGAGUAACACGUGAGUAACCUGCCCCUAGCUCUGGGAUAGCUCCGGGAAACCGGGAUUAAUACCAGAUACGACCACUUUAGACAUCUGUCGUGGUGGAAAGGAUUCCGGCUAGGGAUGGGCUCGCGGCCUAUCAGCUUGUUGGUGGGGUAACGGCCUACCAAGGCGACGACGGGUAGCCGGCCUGAGAGGGCGACCGGCCACACUGGGACUGAGACACGGCCCAGACUCCUACGGGAGGCAGCAGUGGGGAAUAUUGCGCAAUGGGCGAAAGCCUGACGCAGCGACGCCGCGUGGGGGAUGAAGGCCUUCGGGUUGUAAACCCCGUUUCAGCAGGGACGAAGCGAAAGUGACGGUACCUGCAGAAGAAGCGCCGGCUAACUACGUGCCAGCAGCCGC